GCAGGGAGAAAUGAGAGGAGCGUUAUUGCGUGCUGUGACAUGCCUCAUCCUAGAAUCUUCCAUGAUCAUUCACAAGAAUAAAGGCCAAUCUAAUUAAAAUGAACACAGAAGUGUGAAAAAUAAAGGGCAAAGAAACUCCAAGAAAAUAGAAGCUGUCUGCAAAUACACAUCAUACCCCAAGGCCAUCAAGAAGGAACAGCAAUAACCAGAAAUUGCCAGAGCAGCAAAAAUUGGAAUAAAGUCAUCUGAAAUGGCUCAGGGCCUAUCACACUCUUGAAUCACCAUAUGAUCCAAGGUGACCAACUGCAUUUACAGCCCCUGGAUUAGAGCUUCUCUAAGACCGAGGGCAAAGCCCAGCACCUCUGAUGGAUAAACACUGCCCUCCAGGUUCCCCUCCAGCUCCUCUGCUGACUUCAUUCAGCUUCUUCACUGGACCAGACUUGGGUUUGAUCAUGAAGAAUUAUGCUGUAGACCAAGUGGCUCAACUGGUGGUGAAAACAAGAGGGAUACAUUGUGUUUAGGCCUUCUUGGAACCAAAGGUCUUCAACAUGAAAUGAUGGGCUCCAGUUUAUUAGAAGAAUUGUUCACUCUAAAAGAAAUAUUUCUACUAGAACCCCGUGCUCUGAAGACCAUUUCCUCCUUCUGAAGAAGAUGAAUGCUUCCUCUUCUAUAAUAAGAACAAUGUACCUGCUUACCUUCCCCUUUUCCUUGAAUGCUAGGAAGCUCUUCUCCUAUAGUUAAGUUUCAAAUUUAUAAAAUAGUGUAGUUACCUCA
Molecule: long non-coding RNA, 774 nt
Organism: Hyaena hyaena (striped hyena)
Lineage: Eukaryota; Metazoa; Chordata; Mammalia; Carnivora; Hyaenidae
Exons: 4
Source: RefSeq, a predicted model, not a curated record